Molecule: unclassified non-coding RNA, 317 nt
Filed under: Hevea brasiliensis (rubber tree)
Lineage: Eukaryota; Viridiplantae; Streptophyta; Magnoliopsida; Malpighiales; Euphorbiaceae
Source: RNAcentral
AAAAUUUUUUAAAAAUUAUACUUUUAAAAACCUUGAACUCUUCCAAAUAUAAAUUUUUAAAACCUCUCAACCUACCAAAUUUAAGCAUUUUCUUUCCAUAAAUUAAAUAUUAAUUAUUACUAAUUUUUCCUUUUUCAUAUCUUCCAUAAAUCAUUAUUUACCUUCCCUCCUCAAUGAAACAUUAAAAAAUUUCAUCUUACUUCUCAUUAUUUUACUUAUUUUAAAGAAACCUUGCUUUUGUCUCCUUCCAAUCCUCCAAACGAAAGGAAGUGCUAUAAAUCAAGGAUAAUGAAAUGAAAUAUAAUAAUGGAUUAUUU